CCUACGGGAGGCAGCAGUAGGGAAUUUUCGUCAAUGGGCGCAAGCCUGAACGAGCAAUGCCGCGUGAACGAGGAAGGUCUUCGGAUCGUAAAGUUCUGUUGAUGGGGAAAAAGAGCGGAGAGAGGAAAUGAACUCCGAUUGAUAUUACCCUUCGAGGAAGUCACGGCUACCUCCGUGCCAGCAGCCGCGGUAAUACGUAGGUGGCGAGCGUUAUCCGGAAUGAUUGGGCGUAAAGGGUGCGUAGGCGGCCUGCUAAGUCUGGAGUGAAAGGUACGGGCUCAACCGUUGUAGGCUCUGGAAACUGGCGGGCUAGAGUGCAGGAGAGGGCGGUGGAACUCGAUGUGUAGCGGUAAAAUGCGUAGAUAUAUGGAAGAACACCAGUGGCGAAGGCGGCCGCCUGGCCUGUUACUGACGCUGAGGCACGAAAGCGUGGGGAGCAAAUAGGAUUAGAUACCCUUGUAGUC
RNAcentral lists this ribosomal RNA (464 nucleotides) under uncultured bacterium. Its description in RNAcentral is "partial 16S ribosomal RNA". It matches the Rfam family "Bacterial small subunit ribosomal RNA", at positions 338 to 795 of the family's 1533-position model. The record is from RNAcentral.